RNAcentral lists this long non-coding RNA (563 nucleotides) under Vigna radiata. RNAcentral's name for it is "long non-coding RNA (VRAD_LNC001513)". The record is from RNAcentral. Lineage: Eukaryota; Viridiplantae; Streptophyta; Magnoliopsida; Fabales; Fabaceae.
GAACUCGGAGUUGGAUCUUCUUCAGUCUCCAACGCUUGCUCCAAAGGCACAACAUCAUCAGCUUCUGCUCACAUCCAAGGAUUUGGAUGAUCAUCGCAAGGGAAAGUCACACACAUACAAAACACACAAUUGCAAGGGUAAGCUAGGUUGAAAAGCAUGCAAAUAAACAGUCUAUCAGAUUAUACAUUAAAUGGAACUAACUGUCAUGUUAUACAAUCACACAGACAUCAUGCAAAGACCAUAACACAAUUUAGACUAAGACCGAACGCAUUUUUGUUGAUAGCAAUGACUGACACGUGAUUUGACCGUCCGGACUAGUAUGAAAUGUCGAGUUUCAGGGGUUUGUGCACUUGUGGUGGCCCUACUGCUUUGCAAAGCCAUUGCCGAGGGGUUUCACCCGACCACACACAAGUGUAAGUCCAACCAAACUCAUCUUGGCCCAUAUAAAAUGGAGACAACCAAGACUAGGACCUCCUCCUAUUCUCACCACAUGACUCAUCACUCUCUAAUUGAGCAUGGAUGGUCAUUAGAAUGUCAAGGUAAACCCCAUCCUGAACUCCGGC